CCAUGAAGCAAAACAUGACAUUUGAUACCUUUUUGGAAAGCCCAAAGAGAACCCUCCGACGAAAGAAGCAGGAAAAUGGGUCGAGGUAUCAU
Molecule: small RNA, 92 nt
Filed under: Arabidopsis thaliana (thale cress)
Lineage: Eukaryota; Viridiplantae; Streptophyta; Magnoliopsida; Brassicales; Brassicaceae
Description: ATSL264970
Source: RNAcentral